Molecule: non-coding RNA, 5568 nt
Organism: Triticum urartu
Lineage: Eukaryota; Viridiplantae; Streptophyta; Magnoliopsida; Poales; Poaceae
Source: RefSeq, a predicted model, not a curated record
CCUCCCGAUCUCCUCCCUUCCUGGAACCUCCGCUCCUUGAUCUCGCCCUCCUCCCUCUCCUCUGCGCCCGCCGACGUGGGCCGCGUCUCCAUGUCCUCGGCCAUGCCGGCGGCAGCAGCGAUGCGGUCUGGCGUCGGCGUCGACGGAGUUCCCGUCUCAUCGCCUUGCCCAUUAAUCCCGUGUCUGGACCAAGCACGACACCACCUCGGUGUUGCACGCCGCGACAAUGCCCGCCCGGGCUCAAACCCCCCUCCCCCACGAGCUCUUCCUCGACGUGCCGCUCUUUUCGUCCCUUCUCUCCUCCGCUCGCCGCUUGGUCGUAGAACUAGUCAGGGCAGGGGACAACAUGGCCGCCGCCAAGCAGCAGCCGCCGCUAUACAUUGCCGUCGCCGACGACCGCCAGAGGAGCACCUUCCCCUGCACGCGCCCCAUCCUGCAGAGCGCGCUCCAGCUCAUGGGCUGCAAGCCACGCCACACCUUCAAGGUCUGUCUUCCCCCAUCUUGCUUGUCCCACAAUCUGUCAGCUCACUUCUUUUCCCUUGGGUUCAGUCUGAAUCUUUAGAUUAGACUCAGUAUCCUAUCAUCUUUGCCGCAUUCCUGAACCUCCAUAGCAAGCGAUGUAGAUCAGUUUUUUUUGGUAUUCCAUACUCCUCAUAUCCUACUUCAAUUGGCUGAUGGGAUCAGUCUCAUAGUGUUUUUCGUUACAAUUAGGGAGCGCUGUACAUCUGCCUCAUAUCCUGCUUCAAUUGGCUGAACCUACAGAGUGUAUUUAAUUAGUAUGAUGUUCACAGCAGGGGUGGAGCUACUAGGAGCCUCUGAUGCACAGGCAUCAGGGUCGAUGUUGAUUUCUUCAAGCGAUUGUGUAGAGUUGUUUGGCCGUGCACCAGGUUAGGCUGACAGCGCUGCAUCAGGUACAGAGACAAUCCCACGGCGGCCUUGUUUGGAACUGGUUCAUGGGUAGGCCAGGUCUUGUUCAGACGUGGCCAGGCCUUGGCGUAGCCUUGUGGGCUGUAGCCUUUUGGGUACGUUUGGUGUGGCUGGGCAUCAAGGCGUCAAUGCCCUUAGGUGUUGUAGGGUCACGCCAACACGCGAUCACUUGACGAACCACAUCGGAUGGGCGACGCUGCGCUAGGCUCGGUCUUUACACCUAGCAUCAUCCAUGCUAAUCCGAUCAGUCACUGACCUCAGCUCCAGCUCAAAGGUAGAGUAUGACAUAUAGAUGUAGUAAAUCUUAAAUCUCGGGUUAACCAUUGCAAAAAUUGUGCUUUUAGGCGGUAUCUUCUUUAGAUUUUUUUUAGUUCUAUGUACAGGGGUAUUCUGAAGUUGAGAAUUCAGUUCAUUUACUUGACUUUAUCAAAUGUGGAUAGCCACAAGACUGGAGACGCGAGACUUUGUGGUUAGUCUAAUAAUGUUGCAAUAAGUCGCUCCAUCGUCGUAUUUUCCCUCCUUUUUUGCAAUAAUUGUUCAUUCACAUUUUUUCAGAAACUAUUGCCAAUGUACUAAGUCUUAUUCAGAGAUUGUCAAUAUUGUUGGGCGUGUCCUGCUCUCCCUCUUUUAUAUUUGGUUGUUUGGUAUCACACUGAAGGUGCUAGAUGUAAUGUGGACUCAGGGCCAGAACAGAGAAGAACCAGAGCAGCUAGACUCGGGAACGCAGCCGAAAGAACGCCGAUAACCGUAAGAAACAGAAGACAAAACAUAAAAUUGGAUCAAAAUCUUACUCGCAAGUAAGCUUUGAGAAGAGAAACUUGGAACUCACCCACACAAACGACGGAACAUGGUCUAACACAGAGUCCUAGAAAGUUUGCAACAAAGCACGUCAAGAGGUUCAAAACAAAGAAACUGAAACUGAAGGUCCACUUUCAAGUGAGCAGAAAAACAAUAUUUUCCAGACCGCAUACAAAGAGACUCUGAAAUGCAAGUCAUCGCAGCCUUGUGGGUACGGAUACAUGGCCAAACCUUCAACUGGUUCUCAAAGGUUUCGUAUCCAGGUUGAAGAGCAAGCUCGUGCUACAGCAGCCACCCAGCAGCAAAACUCUGAGCUCAGCCAGCAGGUCAACGAAUUACAAGAUCAACUACAAGCUGAACGUGCAAACACACAAGAGAGGAUUAACUUGGAGUGUACUGAGAGAGAACAACUUGAGGAGAGGUUAAAAGAAGAGCAUGCUGAAAGGGAAAGAUUGUUGGAAGAGGAGCGAACAUCAAGACCGGAAUUUGAAAAAAACAUGAUGACAAAGUUUGUAGCAUUGAGCCAACAGAUGGGAACCCAACAGGUGCCUAAGGAUUGACAAAGAAAAUAGUAACCCAAACUUGCAAAAUACACUUUUAUAGAGAUCUAGUCCUAAUAAAACUCCAGUUCAAGGCCAAUUAUUAUUUCUUCAAAUGCGCUCAUACAAGCUGCAACAAGGAAUUCUCGAAUGUUUAAAGCAAUGGUAAGUCACAACCUUACUUUCUCUUCAUGUUCACUUGCAUUUUAUACGUCAUUGGCAUUCAUAACUAGCUAGCUGUUUCUUCUCUUUCACCAUGUGUUGUUGCUGCAUCGAGUCACAACUUAAACAAAAAAUGAAUAUGUGCUAGCUAGGGACAUGAACUUAACUGAAACUAUACAUCGGGUCACAACUUAAAUCAGUAGCAGAACCUUUUAGUAGAUGUACUUGUGCUUAUGCUUUAGACAUUUACACUUGUAUGAUUGUUCUAAUCCCUCAGUUACAUGCUUGCUGACACAGUAUUAGUCUAGUUAGUCUGGCGAUAGUUCCUUUUAACUAUGGGGCUGGAAUAAUUGUAUGGUGUAUGUUAUGUUGGACUCAUUAACUAGAACUUUUUUUAUUUCUUGAUUGCUGGAUCCAAAGAACUAGCUGGCCUGGACUCUAGAUCACGGACCGUUUAGUCUUUGCAAUUAAUUAGGAUGGCUAAAUUAUAUCUGAGUUUCAUUUGAUGAAUAUUUGCUACGAGAAUUAUGAACUUUAUGAAUCUACAUAUUAUACGUAUGGUUUUGAAUAUUGUAAUUGAAUGCAUGUAUUUUUUUUACGGUUGCAAUAUGCUACAACCCACUUUCGGUUGCCACAUGUUAGCACCACCAAAAAAAGUGUUGCGUCAUAUCUCAGUCGAUAUGCCUACUAUUUUGUUGCACUAGGAUGUUGUAACGGAUCACUUCAUAUUGUCUGGCACCACAAAUUUUUUCAUGACGCGAUAACUGUUCGGCGCCACCAAAGUAAUUUUUGUUGAAAUAGAGUAUCACCAUGGAAAUUUUAAAUUGUCGCAAUAGUUUCUCGCUACAAACAUUUCAACUGUUGUGAUACCUAUUUAUCACCACUAAAACAAGUAUGUUGCAAUUUCUUAUUACGACGACAGGAAUAUUUGUUGCCAUAAGUUAAUGCCACAAGUGUAGUGGGUCGUGGCAACAUGCCUAAUGCGGCGAAACCAAGGAUUGUUGCCAUAGUUUAUUGCCACAAUUGUAGUGGGUCGUGGCAACAUGCCUAAUGCUACGAAAACAAGGAUUGUUGCCAUAGUUUUUUGCCACAAGUGUAGUGGGUCGUGGCAACAUGCCUAAUGCCACGAAAAUAGGGAUUGUUGCCAUAGUUUAUUCCCACAGUUGACUAUUGCCAUGGAAGAGUAAUGCUCCACGAAAUGGGCGUCGUUGGCAUAGGUUGUUGCCACAAAUGUCUAUCACCACGAGAUAUUAGGCGCCACGAUUCGUUGCAUGUUGCAUUAAAGCUAUCUCCACAAAUAUAAUUGUGGCAUCAAGUGAGUGUUGCCACGGGAAAACAUGUGGCAACUUCCAACAUGGAUGUUGCAAUAGCACACUUUAUUGCCACGGUUGCUUUUUCGUGGCAAUAACCUAUUACCAUGUGUCCAGUCGCAACAGCUGCCAACGAAUGCCGUUUCGUGGCAAUAGGUACUUAUCGCCACGAAAUGACAUGUAUUGCAACAAACGAUUUUGUUGCAAUAGACCCGGAUCCUUGUAGUGCCCUCUGGUGCUUUUUUUGCCCAAUAUUUUUUAUAUAUUCCAAAAUAAUUCUCCAUGAAAUUUCAGGACUUUUGGAGUUGUGCAGAAUAGGUCUAUAAUAUUUGCUCCUUUUCCGUUCCAGAAUUCCAGCUACAGGCCUUCUCCCUCUUCAUGUAAACCUUGUAAUAAUAGCCCAUAAUGCAAUAAAUAUCAAUAUAAAAGUAUGAUGCAAAAUGGACGUAUCACUCAUUCAUCUUUAUGGAUGAAUGAUGUUGAUGAUUUGUUCAUGAUCAUCAAUACAAGGAGUCGACAAACCUCGAUGAUGAUACUUUAAGUUAGGGGUAAUACCGUAUCGGAUUGAGAUGGAUAAUCCUUAUAUCGUAUCAUUACCAAUAUUUAUUUUCAGAUUCAAAAGCGGAUUUGAUGCCGUAUUUUAGUAAUACCAUAUCAUAUACCGUAUCGUAUCGUAUCAAUGAGACUCGGAUUCAAACAAAAUUGUUGUCGGAUGUAAAAAAUCUCUUACCGUAUCAUAUAAAAACGAAUUCGGGUGGAAAUUAACCUAACCACUUUCACCCUUACUUUAAAUACAAUUGGACCUAACAUUUCAAUAUCAAAUACAUUUCAACACAAUCAUGGUUCAUCAUAGUCCCAAUUAAACAACAUAGUCUUAAUCAUAGAUCAUGGUUCAUCACAAUUUUAGGUCUCAAAAAAAAUGACAACACAAUCUUAACCACAACCAGCGAACAUAAAUAAUAACUGCAUAUUACAAUCACUCAUCACAGAUUUCAUUCAUGCUUGUUCUUAUUAACCUCCCUAGCCUUCAACGGGUCAGAUAUGACACACUCUAGUCUCUUCUUCUCCUUCCUUGACUCACCAAUGCCUUUAGUUGAAUCUUGCCUACCAUUCCAAAUAACUUCUACCUACGCAGCCUGGAUGUGCUUCAACAGAUUAACAUCCUUCUGCAGCUCCAUGUUCCACUUCUUCAGCUCCAAGUUCUCCUUCUUGAGGUCCCUUGCUUAAAGUUCAUUCUUCUGUUCUUCACUUUCAUUCAUAAUCUUCUUGUAAUUCUCCAUUAUGACCUUUUUAGUAGUAUAUUCACACCAAUCUUUGUUAAACUUGAUGUUCAACACAUAUUUCUUCUCUAACGGCUCCUUUUCUUCUGCUAACUUGGACAACUGGUAUGCUUUAACAAUAUUUCCUAUCUUGCUCUUCCCAUGAUCAUCCUAAAGCUUGUCUAGUGCUUUCUUUAGUGUAUCAUGCCAUUAUGCAUUAGCCCAAUCACUCACAACACAACUGAACCCUCCCUGAAAAUAAUUUCUACAAUGAAUAAUCUGUGCACACUAAACUUGUUCACAAUAUGUACAGUGGUUAAUCUCUACACACUGACACUGAAGUAGCUCACAAGAUCUACAAACUUAACUUGUUCUAUUGGCAUAUAUGAGUAUGAAUAGAACGAAUCAUUGUACUAACCUUCUCAGCGUAGCCAAAGAAUCUCCCGCAGAUGUGAUGCCGGUCAAAUGCAACCAACUUCUCAGCCGGCUUGUUGUGGCUGUUGGGGAACGUUGCAGAAAACAAAAAUUUUCCUACUCGUUUCACCAAGAUCCAUCUAUGAGUUCAUCUAGCAA